UUAAUCCGGAAGCAUAGAAAUCUACCGUUCAUAAUCUACUCCACUAAUUCAUUACCUAGGGAGAGAAAGUUGUUGUUGUGGCUUUAGCUGUGCCCAUAACUGCUGCACUGGUUGUUUUCUCUUUCUGCUUAUGUUAUCUGUGGCCGAAACUCAAAAGCAAAGUGUUAAGGGGAGCGCAUCAAAAUCUGUUGCUACUCGAUUUGAAUCAAAAUAGUCGCAAAGUAGAGAGAAACAGCCAUUAUGAGCUGCCGACGUUCAGUUUUUCUAGCAUUGUCGCGGCAACUAACAACUUCUCUGAUGCAAACAAGUUGGGGGAGGGUGGGUUUGGACCGGUUUAUAAGGGAGAGCUGCUCAAUGGGCAACUUCAAUGAGCUGCUCAAAAAUUCAAGUGCCUCCAAGCUUGCAUUAGAAAAUUCUUCAUAAUUAUAAAGAUGGUAAAGUUGAAAAUUAUGAUAAAUAAAAUUUUAUUUCUAUGAUUUAGUCGCACCUUGAUUAAAAUUUAUUCAUUCAAGAAGUGGGGCGUGGGG
Salvia miltiorrhiza (redroot sage) is the source of this 527-nucleotide long non-coding RNA. RefSeq lists it as uncharacterized. The transcript has 3 exons. NCBI's taxonomy places the organism in Eukaryota, Viridiplantae, Streptophyta, Magnoliopsida, Lamiales, Lamiaceae. The record is from RefSeq and is a predicted model, not a curated record.